ACUUAACCUAUAUCGGCGCACGGGUGCGUAACGCGUAUGCAACCUACCUUUUACUGGGGGAUAGCCCGGAGAAAUCUGGAUUAAUACCCCAUGGUACCUAGAGGUCGAAUGAUUUUUAGUUUAAAGAUUUAUCGGUAAGAGAUGGGCAUGCGUCUGAUUAGCUAGUUGGCGGGGUAACGGCCCACCAAGGCGACGAUCAGUAGGGGUUCUGAGAGGAAGGUCCCCCACACUGGCACUGAGAUACGGGCCAGACUCCUACGGGAGGCAGCAGUAGGGAAUAUUGGGCAAUGGUCGCAAGACUGACCCAGCCAUGCCGCGUGCAGGAAGACGGCCCUCUGGGUUGUAAACUGCUUUUAUCUGGGAAGAAAAAGUCCAUGCGUGGAAAAUUGCCGGUACCAGAUGAAUAAGCACCGGCUAACUCCGUGCCAGCAGCCGCGGUAAUACGGAGGGCGCAAGCGUUGUC
Molecule: ribosomal RNA, 463 nt
Filed under: uncultured Algoriphagus sp.
Lineage: Bacteria; Pseudomonadati; Bacteroidota; Cytophagia; Cytophagales; Cyclobacteriaceae
Description: bacterial SSU rRNA
Rfam family: Bacterial small subunit ribosomal RNA
Source: RNAcentral